GCCCUCGUAGCCCAAUGGCAGAGGCAGGCGCCUUAAAAGCGCCCAAGUGCGGGUUCGAAUCCCGUCGAGGGCA
Molecule: transfer RNA, 73 nt
Filed under: Calidifontibacter indicus
Lineage: Bacteria; Bacillati; Actinomycetota; Actinomycetes; Micrococcales; Dermacoccaceae
Description: tRNA-Leu
Rfam family: tRNA
About the family: Transfer RNA (tRNA) molecules are approximately 80 nucleotides in length. Their secondary structure includes four short double-helical elements and three loops (D, anti-codon, and T loops).
Source: RNAcentral